GGCGCCCAGGCCGCCGGCGCCCAAGCCGGCCGCGCCCAGGCCGGCCGCGUCCAGGCCGGCGGCGCCCAGGCCGGCCGCGCCCAGGCGGGCGGCGCCCAGGCCGCCGGCGCCCAGGCGGGCCGCGCCCAGGACAGGGUCGCCGCCGGCAUCCUCCAAGUCCUCCACGGCAACGGUUUCCGCACCGUCGGCCAUGGGCGGCGACGGGUGGAACGGCCGCUCGACGCCGGCGACGGAAGCUGUACGGGCGGUAGGAGCCACGGGAAGAACAGGAGUCGCGGGAAGAACAGGAGUCGCGGGAAGAACAGGAGCCACGGUUGUUUUUUUUUUCUUUCUCAACGGUACUGUAAAGGGUGGCAUUGGUGGGUAAUUUCUACCCAACUCCAAGAGGGGUUAUAAAAGUUGUUUUUUGAGAGCACCCUUUGAGGAGCUCCAGGAAAAUCUUGGAGUUGCCCCCCAGAUCCACAUUUUUUUUGGAGUUGGUAUAGUUGGAGCUGGAGGCGUUUGGCAAGAUGAAGCUGGAGUGGAGCUAUUUUUUUUGGAGCGGAGCAGUCCCAAACAGGCC
This 562-nucleotide long non-coding RNA is filed under the name Setaria italica (foxtail millet). RNAcentral's name for it is "long non-coding RNA (SITA_LNC004702)". Lineage: Eukaryota; Viridiplantae; Streptophyta; Magnoliopsida; Poales; Poaceae. The record is from RNAcentral.